UCGCCUGAAUAAACCGAGUUACGAACUCCUC
Molecule: non-coding RNA, 31 nt
Filed under: Mus musculus (house mouse)
Lineage: Eukaryota; Metazoa; Chordata; Mammalia; Rodentia; Muridae
Source: RNAcentral